Molecule: ribosomal RNA, 253 nt
Filed under: uncultured bacterium
Lineage: Bacteria
Description: partial 16S ribosomal RNA
Rfam family: Bacterial small subunit ribosomal RNA
Source: RNAcentral
UACGUAGGGGGCAAGCGUUGUCCGGAUUUAUUGGGCGUAAAGAGCGUGUAGGCGGCCAGGCAGGUCCGCUGUGAAAACUCGAGGCUCAACCUCGAGAGGUCGGUGGAAACCGUCUGGCUAGAGUCCGGAAGAGGAGAGUGGAAUUCCCGGUGUAGCGGUGAAAUGCGCAGAUAUCGGGAAGAACACCCGUGGCGAAGGCGGCUCUCUGGGCCUGGACUGACGCUGAGGAGCGAAAGCGUGGGGAGCGAACAGG